GACUCUCGGCAACGGAUAUCUCGGCUCUCGCAUCGAUGAAGAACGUAGCAAAAUGCGAUACCUGGUGUGAAUUGCAGAAUCCCGCGAACCAUCGAGUUUUUGAACGCAAGUUGCGCUCGAGGCCUUCCGGCCGAGGGCACGUCUGCCUGGGCGUCA
RNAcentral lists this ribosomal RNA (156 nucleotides) under Sorghum bicolor (sorghum). RNAcentral describes it as "rRNA 5_8S_rRNA". It matches the Rfam family "5.8S ribosomal RNA". Rfam says of the family: 5.8S ribosomal RNA (5.8S rRNA) is a component of the large subunit of the eukaryotic ribosome. It is transcribed by RNA polymerase I as part of the 45S precursor that also contains 18S and 28S rRNA. Functionally, it is thought that 5.8S rRNA may be involved in ribosome translocation. Lineage: Eukaryota; Viridiplantae; Streptophyta; Magnoliopsida; Poales; Poaceae. The record is from Rfam by way of RNAcentral.